Papaver somniferum (opium poppy) is the source of this 2890-nucleotide long non-coding RNA. RefSeq lists it as uncharacterized. The record is from RefSeq and is a predicted model, not a curated record. Lineage: Eukaryota; Viridiplantae; Streptophyta; Magnoliopsida; Ranunculales; Papaveraceae. The transcript has 8 exons.
CACCCAUUUUCUUUUUUCUUUCUCUUUCUAUUUCUUCUUCUGCUCUCUUGCUCUCCCUCUCUAACCUUAUGAAAUGGCUCCAUGGAAAUGGAGAAAUCAAUAAACCUUAGAUGUAGUUUCAACCAAACUAAUAAAAACCCACCCUUCUCUUGAUUCUGAUUCUAAACUCCCUCAACUCACUUGUCCAGUUGUAAAUCUCAAAUCUGUUGGGAACAGAUUCAAUCCAAGUUUUUUUUCUAUCAUUCCAGGGUUUUAUCAAAAUCUCUAACUAGAUCUAAAUAAAUAAUCACCUCAUGGAUGAUUACUGCUAAAGACCUUUGUUUUAGGGUGUUCUAGGGUUUCUGAAUCUGAAAUUAUGAGUCUGUGAUGGAAUUGGAGAAAGGGUUUUCUAUGAAUCUUGAGACAAAGAUUAAGAUAAUUUGGGGUUGGAAAGAGAUGAGUUCGCUGCAAUUAUUGAAGAAGAUGAUGAUUAAAAAGGGGUUUCUGUUAUUGCCUAGAGAAGAAGCGAAUCGUAUUUGAGAAUUAGAAGAUGGAAUUUGUGAUAUCAUGGAAAUAAUCGAUUAGAGUUGCACUAGAUUCGAAGUCAGAUGGGUUUGAUGUUGUUGAUAUGGAGAGGAGAAAUCAGAGAAGAUUAAGAAAAAAUUGAAGUUCUUAGAAGUCUAAGAUUGAGAAAUCAAGAGAUUGCAGGUGGAUGUGAUGAUUUUCAUAGGUUAGUGGUGCUGCUUUAUUCGAGUUAAAAACAAAUUGAAGUUCUUAGAAGUCUGAGAUUGAGAAUUCAAGAGAUUGCAUGUUAGGGUUUGCAAUUUAAUUUUCUGAUUUUUGUUCUACUACAUUUUUUGUUUGCUGACAUAUUUUUAAUUAUUAUUUGUUUUUAUUUGAUUUUCCACAAAUUUCAUUAUUUAAAACUACACUUCUUGAAGAGCUUCUUCAGGUAUAACAUCUAUCUGCAUUUUUUAGAAGCAAUUUAGUGUUUUGUUAUGGGAUUAUUGAAGUACCGGUGUGCUGAUAGAGUAAUUGUUUAUUCCAGGGUUUGAAGUUAGAUGAUUGGUAUGCUGAUGAGGGGAUUAUAAGCAUGAUAGAGUAAUUUGAUUUGAUCUGAUGUUGGGUCAUAUUUUUUCUUUGAUACAUGUUGGGUUUUCAUUUUGCAGGAACGCAUAUCCUAUGCGAGAAGCAAGGUAAGAUCAAUGAAGCAUACAAGAAUCUAGAUGAAGAUUGGUUAAGAAAUGGAGAAAAAGUUUCCCCAGCAGAGUUCGCAAAUUUGAAUUGUUACUUUGUCUUACAAAGAUUUACCUUUAGCUUGUACUUGCAUUUUCAUCUUAGCACCAUCGAUUUUGUUCCAUGAUCAAAAGUGGUCCAACUUUUCAGAGGUGCUGAUGGGGAUCAAGUUAGGAAACCAGCUGAAUUUGGGGAUUGCGCAUAUGUGGUCAGAAACGAUCGUCGAGGUACGUGCAAGUUCUGACUUCUGAGUUGGGGGGGUUCAAUUUUUGUCAUUAAUUAAACAAUGGUCUCACCUUCAAAAUCAGUACACACCCAGUCUCUUGGAUGUUGGUACUUUAAGUUCGUGGAGUAUCAUUUAAGGGCACACUUCCUUGCUAAUCCUUACUAAAUUAACAAGCAUUUGAUGAAGUUGUAGCAUAACUUGAUGCUGGAGAUCGGUCCCAGCUGAUCUUGGAAAAAAUCAUUUUAAAAGUUUUUUUAGAUAUAAGGUAUAUAUGAUGGUCUUGUUUUCUGUAUAAUCUAUUUAUUCCACUUAAAACUAAUUUUUCUUGUAGCUCAUUUUGGACAGAACUUGUCCUGUAGCUCAUCUUGUAAUGAUGUUUUCUAUUCUGAAUGAAACUUGAGGUAUAAUAAUUUAUUUAGUAUGCGUACAUCUACUGGAAUAUUUUUUUGUGUAUGCUGAAUCCUGCAUUUUUAAGUUUCCAGGUGAAUUUGUUAGUUUAUUCAACUGUCAUGUAAUCAAUAGCCUAAGCAUUUGCAGUUUGGGGGUUUCUUAAUUGAGAGUUUGUUUUAGAUUCAUCUAACUCUGACUAAAGAAUUUUAUUUCAGAUUAAUGGGAAGCAAUUUGGUGUUGUUCCGAGUCAGGACAGUGACACGCUGUUCAUUGGCAAUAUAGUCAAGUUGAAGGCAAAACUGAUACACCAUGGUGUUGAUAACUUUGAAGACUUGACACUGGUCGAGGAUACUAAAAAUGAGGGGAUGAAUAGGGGGUUUGCUUUUCUGGAUUUCGGUACUCGUUCAGAUGCUUAGGAGGCAUGCAAGAACUUGCAUAAGAGGGAUGUUUUGGUUGGUACCGAUAGGCCAGAAAAAAUUGCUUUUGAAGACACUUUCAUUGAGAUGGAUACUGCCUGUGUACCUGCUAUAACGAUUAUUGGUAGAGCAAAAUCAUAAUAGGAGAAUACACUCGGACAUUGUGGAGUGACAAGUGACAACAGACUACAUAAGCAGCAGAAGGCUCAAUGAUAAACGGGCUGCAGUAAUCUACUGAGAUUCGUCAUGGAAAGUGGUAACAAGGGUUGCGAGGUUGUUUCCUUAACUGCUGAGUAAGCUGUCAUGUGCUUCUGUGAGAGUUCUCUUGAUAUCCUAGUUACUUUGGAGCUUACACCAUAGUGAGAGGCAUGGUAGUGUCAAGACAUUUUUCAUAUGUUUCUUUUGGUUUGGCAUCAGCUCUGCAACUUUAACAUUUUGAUUCUUGCCUGUCACACAUUUUCGGAACAUCGUCUAUUAGUUUAGCAUGUCGUUAUAACUUACUAGCUAGCUUGGACAUGUCUUGUUCUAAACUAAGAAUUUCAUUCUUAUGUGCAACUUUAAACCCCAUGAAUGAAUGAACGAAAGUUGAAUUCUCAAUUGGAGUUUAAAUUUGAGUUAAAUUUGAAUUUCAGUUUGGGUUCCA